ACAUUUCCUAAAAUUGAAGACGGAAAAUAUUAGGAUCUGGGUUCACAUACAAAAGUCGUUAUUUAAAAUUAAGGUAGGCUAUAGCUAGUGUGAGAUUUAAAAAUAUUAAGCCUAAACCAUUUAAAUUAUAGCCUAUUAUUUUACCGAAAUACUUAACUAUUGUGAUACAGACACAGGAAGUCGUUUAAAAUCUAAACAAUAUAAAGCUUAAUUAGAAUUAUAAAUGUUUUGUCUCUUGAAAUCUGUUUUAUUUAAGCGUCUUCAAAAAAAGUGACAUUAUCCCAUAUUUAAAUAGUAUUAAUUUAUUAAUUCAUCUAAAUGCAAAAUGUAUCAACGUGGAUAAAACAGUGUAUUAUAAUUAAAGCUACGUCUAUUCAAAAUCUAUGCAGUAAAGGACUUCAAGGCCUUUACUGAAAUAUCCGACAUCACGCAAAAACUUCCACCGCAAAUUCGCAAAGUUCCUUGAUUCAAAAUUUAAGACUCCCUAAAGCGAUCGAUUCGUGUUGUCCAUCGAUUUAAAGCGGUGUAAAAAUGAGGCAAAAAAUAGUGAAUUUAUCCACUUUAUCUAUUUUCAUUUUUAUUGUAACCCCGCCUCAUGAAUAUUAAUGAGUGGCUAAUCCCCACUUAGAAUUACAUUUCAGAAUAGUGUCCGUAAAGUUUAAUAGGCAGACGGAGAGCAAACGUGAAAGGGAGUGAAGAAAAACUCGGCCCUUCCAGAAAAAAACACGAAAUCAGCACACAGAGAGAGUCUGAGCCUCAGAGAAUUAAAGAAAGCACCUUUCAAGCCUCACUUUCCCAAAGAAAUGCCAAUAAAAUACGGUAACAGAAUAUCACGGAGGGCGCGGUGUUUCCUUAACUGUUUCUGAAAGGCUCAGAAGAUCUUAAUAAGGCUCGGCUCGGUCCUUUUGUUGAUCUCACAAAAUCAACUCAUUCUAAUUGAGGCUUGAGCUGAAAGCGACCUAAUGUUCAAAGCAAGUGACCGCCGGAGGAACGAAAUUACAUUUUUACUAUAUGGGGCAUCCAAUCAAAGACCGGGCGGCUUUACGCGUUCUUCUAUAGAUCAACAAAGUCAUCGACAAAAGUAGCCUGCUCUUGGAAGUAACAGAGAUGCCGCUGUUAGCCGUCAAUAGACGCGAAAAAACUAAAGAGAACGUUAUUGGAUAGGCCUAGGACUGCGUACGGUGACAGAAUGCGCAUAUUAAUGUUUAUACUGCCUGUUUAAUGCACAAGUGUUGGUCCCAGGCCCCCCAGAAAGGCCGAUUCCACCUGUUCUGAAACUAUUUACACGAAUAAUAAUAACAAAAUGUGAUCCUUAAAUCCAUUCAAUAGAAAUAUAUAAAAUUCCUGCGUUUUGUCCGUUUGCCAUUUUUUUCUCUUGGCUCUGAUGUUGCUGAGACCCCGUGAUAAAGCCAGAACAAGUAGGCUAUCAAGUUAUCAGGUUGCAAGAAGCUUUUGUAAUAAGAGUAUUUUGUCUAAUCCCAAAUUGCAGCCGAAUUUUCUAAAUGCUGAGCUCGUAAAUCUCGGGAUUAGAGGAGGCGAGAAGAGGAGGGGGAAAAGUUUGGUUUCUUUAGCCGGCAGGAUGGGAGUGGGUCGGCGAUGUUGUCGGUCCUUAUUAAAACGACGAUGCAUUAAAAUACGAUACUGAAGCUCGUACAGAAGGCUCGGUACCGAUUCCACCGGUGUAUUUUCGGACGAGAGAAGGAUUUUCGGCGGUCGAGGGACUUCGUGAAGUCCUACAGCAGAACACCUGAAGUCAGGCCGAGGACUUCAAAGCACCCGGAUCCACAGAACGCGCUCUGGGACGCGCGCAUCUGUCCUCGCGCUGGGAUGCUCUACUUUUUGCUACAUAGCUCCUUUUUUAUAUAAGAAUAUCUAUUUUAAAAGCUUUUGAAGAUAUUUUUGUUCCCAAUAAAAAUAUACUGUCGGUUUGAGCCUGAAAACUAUGAUCAACGAUCAGCAUUCUCAGCCAAAAAGCCACAGAUCCUCCCCUUCACCUCCGGCAGAGGCCGCAUGCAGCUGUCAAUCAAGCAGGAGUGGCACCGCCCCCCUCAUUAAGAAGGUAAACAAUGAAUAUGGACGCAGAGGGACACGGCAGAGUAAACGAGCGAUUGGAGCGCGCCAGAAAAAACUAGCGGAAGUUGCUGCUGCCUCCUUCUUCUCUAUUUUCCUCAAAGAAGCGAUGGAUGAAGGCUGUUUAGAGAUGGUGGUGGUUGUGGGGGGGGGGGGGGGUCAAUCCUUUUUGGAUUACUCCCCUCUUUCUCUCUCUCUCAUUGCCCUGGGCAAUCACGUUAAAACUCACAUGGUUGGUGCUUAUUCAGAUAACCCUAACAAUGCACACCAAUGGUAACCAUGUGAGCACUCACAACCCACAGAAGAAUGCGCUGGUUCAAAUCCCCAUGACCCUCCUCCACAGCAAAAUUUAUUCAAGAGUGCAACCUGCUCGGCAGAGCUUCUUCUGAGAGUUCUGCUGAAAUAUCACUAAACACAAACUUUACAUGCAUGUUCUGCUCGCUUUAGUGUAUGGAAACGUGAAGCAAACUUUUGGACAGUGUGGAGUUUUUUUUUUUAGUUAGAACUUUUUUCGGAGGAAGUAAGAGAAAGUAAGUAGUGUUGGAGGAAUCCAGGAAAUAAUGCAUGAUCUUAUUACAGCAGAUUUGGGCGAGUACUGGGCAGGCUGGGAGCUCCGGCAUAAGAUGGAGCUGGAUAGAAGCCAGCUGGGAAUGAGACAAAGACCAACAUGGAAAACCAUGACAAGGAGGAUGACGGGACAACGGUCUCUGGAUUCUUACCACGCUAUUCCCAAACCACAUCUCCCAUCUGUUAUAUCAGAUACAAAUAAAGUGACUAUCAAAAACAAACCAAAUACACAAUGUCUUUGUCUAAAUGUUUGAAUAACUAAUCUGCAUCUUGUGUUUUUGUGCAUGCAUAUAAGUGAUGUAACUAAUUUGGUUUUUGAGAAAUAGGGAAAAAUUCAAUUAAGCAAAGUUAAAAUGCUGAGAAAAAACAAUCUGUAAACCAUUUAAUAAAUAAAUCUAAAAAUACUAAAAAUAAA
Molecule: long non-coding RNA, 3052 nt
Organism: Carassius auratus (goldfish)
Lineage: Eukaryota; Metazoa; Chordata; Actinopteri; Cypriniformes; Cyprinidae
Exons: 2
Source: RefSeq, a predicted model, not a curated record